GACGUAGGGCGCGAGCGUUGUCCGGAUUUAUUGGGCGUAAAGAGCUCGUAGGCGGCUUGUCACGUCGAUUGUGAAAGCCCGAGGCUUAACCUCGGGUCUGCAGUCGAUACGGGCUAGCUAGAGUGUGGUAGGGGAGAUCGGAAUUCCUGGUGUAGCGGUGAAAUGCGCAGAUAUCAGGAGGAACACCGGUGGCGAAGGCGGAUCUCUGGGCCAUUACUGACGCUGAGGAGCGAAAGCGUGGGGAGCGAACAGG
RNAcentral lists this ribosomal RNA (253 nucleotides) under uncultured bacterium. RNAcentral's name for it is "partial 16S ribosomal RNA". It matches the Rfam family "Bacterial small subunit ribosomal RNA", at positions 524 to 776 of the family's 1533-position model. The record is from RNAcentral.